UUUACCUACGGGAGGCAGCAGUGGGGAAUAUUGCACAAUGGGGGAAACCCUGGUGCAGCGACGCCGCGUGAGUGAAGAAGUAUUUCGGUAUGUAAAGCUCUAUCAGCAGGGAAGAGGAAAGACGGUACCUGACUAAGAAGCCCCGGCUAACUACGUGCCGGCAGCCGCGGUAAUACGUAGGGGGCAAGCGCUAUCCGGAUUUACUGGGUGUAAAGGGAGCGUAGACGGCUGUGCAAGUCUGAAGUGAAAGCCCAGGGCUCAACCCUGGGACUGCUUUGGAAACUGUGGAGCUAGAGGGCUGGAGG
RNAcentral lists this ribosomal RNA (305 nucleotides) under uncultured bacterium. RNAcentral's name for it is "bacterial SSU rRNA". It matches the Rfam family "Bacterial small subunit ribosomal RNA", at positions 334 to 655 of the family's 1533-position model. The record is from RNAcentral.